This 478-nucleotide ribosomal RNA is filed under the name Salmonella enterica. RNAcentral's name for it is "bacterial SSU rRNA". It matches the Rfam family "Bacterial small subunit ribosomal RNA", at positions 1 to 477 of the family's 1533-position model. Lineage: Bacteria; Pseudomonadati; Pseudomonadota; Gammaproteobacteria; Enterobacterales; Enterobacteriaceae. The record is from RNAcentral.
AAAUUGAAGAGUUUGAUCAUGGCUCAGAUUGAACGCUGGCGGCAGGCCUAACACAUGCAAGUCGAACGGUAGCACAGAGAGCUUGCUCUCGGGUGACGAGUGGCGGACGGGUGAGUAAUGUCUGGGAAACUGCCUGAUGGAGGGGGAUAACUACUGGAAACGGUGGCUAAUACCGCAUAACGUCGCAAGACCAAAGAGGGGGACCUUCGGGCCUCUUGCCAUCAGAUGUGCCCAGAUGGGAUUAGCUUGUUGGUGAGGUAACGGCUCACCAAGGCGACGAUCCCUAGCUGGUCUGAGAGGAUGACCAGCCACACUGGAACUGAGACACGGUCCAGACUCCUACGGGAGGCAGCAGUGGGGAAUAUUGCACAAUGGGCGCAAGCCUGAUGCAGCCAUGCCGCGUGUAUGAAGAAGGCCUUCGGGUUGUAAAGUACUUUCAGCGGGGAGGAAGGUGUUGUGGUUAAUAACCGCAGCAAUU